GUCUUCGUGGCUCAGUUGGUUAGAGCGUUGGUCUCAUAUGAUGAAUAUGAUUUGGCUGUUCACAGUCAGAGCACGUGAUCCAAAGGUCGAGAGUUCGAGUCUCUCCGAGGACA
This 113-nucleotide transfer RNA is filed under the name Cadophora sp. DSE1049. It matches the Rfam family "tRNA". Rfam says of the family: Transfer RNA (tRNA) molecules are approximately 80 nucleotides in length. Their secondary structure includes four short double-helical elements and three loops (D, anti-codon, and T loops). The record is from Rfam by way of RNAcentral. Lineage: Eukaryota; Fungi; Ascomycota; Leotiomycetes; Helotiales; Ploettnerulaceae.